AUUUGUCCACCACCGAGUAAAUGAGAUCUUGAAGCUAACGAACAAAGGGGAUUGGGGGCAUUGUCCCGGGGUUGAAAAUCCUGCUGACAUUGGGUCUAGAGGUGUAAUUGCUUCACAAUUGAAAGAUAACAAGCUAUGGUGGGUGGGGCCAGAUUGGCUAACUAAGUCAAAAGAGGAGUGGCCAAAAUUUGAGGCUACUGAUAAGACAAAGACAGUUAUGUAAUUAUGGUUGUAAAGGUGACAGAGCCAGCUAGUGUAAGUAGAGUGAUUGACUUGAAUGAUUACGGGACAGCAGAAAGACUUUUUGGGGUAACAGCUUGGGUACUCAGGUUUGGGUUUAAUGUACGAGCAAAAGCAAGGGGCAUUGAUAGGCGAAGUGGAGAGUUGACAGUGAAUGAGUUAGUUGAGGCAGAGAAUAUAUGGAUUAAAGAGGCUCAGGCAGGGUUGAAAGUAGAUAGAAAGUACACCCAACUGUGUAAUGGUUUAGGUUUGAUGGAAGAGGA
This 503-nucleotide long non-coding RNA is filed under the name Paramuricea clavata. Lineage: Eukaryota; Metazoa; Cnidaria; Anthozoa; Malacalcyonacea; Plexauridae. The record is from RNAcentral.